CAACAGCUGACCUGUACAGAGCACUCUGCAGUUUACAAAGCGCUUUCACACACCUUGACUCAUUUCCACCCUACGACAACCCCGUGAGGUUGGGAUUAUCAUUCCCAGUCAAGAACUGAAGAGACUGAGCCCCUGAGAGUGGCUUGUCCACUAUUGUCACUGGUAGAUGGCCAAACUGUGACCGGAAGCCUGGUCUUCCUGCUCACAGACGGAGAAGAGCGUGUCCUGGGGCCCUCUCACUACCAGGCCCUUGUCAGUUGUUACCUGCAUACGUGAGGGAAGCUGAGGCUCGCUAGGUUUGCUUAGCAAUUUGCUCAGGGUCUCCAACCAGCUGGUGAGUGCUGUCAUGAGGGGCCGAACCCAUGUGGUUCUAACUCUAAAGUCAAUGGAUACAUGAAUUUAUUCGGUGAGAUCAUCAGCCGUUUGGUCCUGUCCAAAACAUCCAUAAGACAUUUGGUCCGUGCCAAAAGGUCCUUGAUAUUUGGUCAUAUUUAUUCUUGUCCAAAAUGUCUAUGGAGACAUUAGGUCCAUGCCAAAAGGUUCUUGACAUUUGGUCCUGUCCAAAACCAUUUGGCAUGGACCAAAUAUGCUCAUGGACAUUUUGGACAGGACCAAAGCUCAAGGACCUUUUGGCGUGGACCUAAUGUCUUAUGGACGUUUUGGACAGGACACCCUGCAAGGAUUAGGAUGCAUGGCCUCCCAAAUCCCAGGUCUUCUCCUUGACCCAGAGGGACUUCUCCAUGGGCACUGAGCUGUGGCUGGUCACCCUGUUGCAGUGGUUCCUAGUCUGUCGAGAGUCAUGAUUUCCAGCAUCACCCUUACCCUCGUCAUCACUUACUAGGUGCUUACUAUAUGCCAACGUCUUCACCAGGAACAUUAUGUAACUGAUGCUCUGGGCUGAAUGGUGUCCCCUCCAAAUGCAUGUGUACCUCAGUACCUCAGAUUAUGACUGUAUUUGAAGAUACGGUCUUUAAAGAGAUAACAAAUGUAAAAUGAGGUCAUUAGGGUGGGCCCUAGUUCAAUAUGACUGGUGUCCUUAUAAGAAGAGGAAAUUAGGACAUGGACGCACACAGAGGGAGAACCAUGUGAAGACACAGGGAGAAGACGACCAUCGGUAAGUCAAGGAGAGAAGCUACACAAAGAACCAAUCCUGCCGACACCUUGAUCUUGGACCUCUGGCCUCCGGAACUAGCUGCUCCUGCGCUGUCUUGGGAGAGCCGCCCCGGAGGCGUCAGGCUUCAGGAUGGAGCAGGAAGGCCAAGUUCUCUUCCCACUCACUCACAAGCUCUUGGCUUGCAUCUGCUUUACCCUCUCGGUCCUGCCAAUGACCUCUCUUUGACAGGGAAACUGAGGCUCAGAGAGGUAAGGAGCUGGCCCAAGAGAGAUCAGCGGAGUGAACGAGUUGGGCUCUGGUGUUGGGACCUGAUUUCUAGCACCACUUUGUGCUUUUCUAAGGCCUUUGUCACUCUGAGUCCAGGCUUUACUGUCUGUAAAAUGGGACAUGGGUGCCUUGAGCCAGCGGUGGGGUCGAAGGGUGGAAGGAAAGUAUAAAGAGCCUCAUGUGGAAGAUGCUAUGACAGUAGAAGUGUACUGUCUGGUUGCUCACUGGGGACGUGGCUUCUCCAACUUGACACUUCUAGUAAUUUGGGGGUUGCUGACUCCAGGGCAUACUACUGUCCAGGACCCGGAGCCUGCAAGAGUUGCUGUGGUAUUUCUGCCAGAGAGAGGAAGAGAAGAGAGAGACAGAGACAGAGACAAAGAGAGAGACAAAGAGAAACAGAGAGACAGAGAGGGACAAAGGUAGAGAGACAGAGACAGAGACAGAGACAGAGACAGAGACAGAGGCAGAGACAGAGAGAGAAACAGAGACAGAGACAAAAAGCCCAAGACAGAGAGACAGAGACAGACAGAUGGACAGACAGAGAGACAGAGAUAGAGAGACAGAGAUAGAGAGAGAAACAGAGAGAGAGAGAAAGACAGACAGACAGACAGCGAGCAGGCGAGCAGACAGCGGCAGCUCCUGUCUCCUGGACGCGUCUGGAGGGAGCCUGUGUGGGGCUCUGACCCCAGUGCGCUCAUGCAGGACGGGAAUGAAAGUCAGCGGUGGUGUCCUGGGACGUUGCUGCAGACCUGUGGUUCGCAAGCUGGGCUGCCCGUUAGAAUCCCUGGGCAGCUUUGAAGAAUUUCCGCGUCCCGGCUGCACCUUGACCGAUGACUUUCGAGUCUCCGUGGACCGGGCCUGGGCUGCUGGUGAGGCUUCCUUCUGAAGAACUGACUUCCGGCUGCCACAGCACUAAACAUAAAAGCCAAGAGACGGUCAUAAGGAAACGGGGGCGGGGAGAGCGCGUUUGUUGGAAUCUCUUCUUCCACGGUCACACACUGGCUGAACAUAGCCUGGAGAGGGACUCGGCUCUCAAGGACACGCGUGAUUUGGACUGACGAUCCAGGUUAGACACCGGGAAUCCAGGAUAACCGCCCAUCUCCAAGUACUUAACUUUACACACAUCUGCAAAGUCCCUCUUGCCAAGUAAAGUAAUAUUUUUCACAGGCUCCAGCGACUAGGAAUGGGGGCAUCUUUGAGGGGCUGUUAUUCUGCUCACCACAAGUGCUCAGCACAGUAAGGACUUGGGGAAGGUUAGUUAUGCUGAUCUCAUCUAGGUCAUCUAGCUCAGCUGGUUCUGCUAAUGACUUGGAGAGGCAGACACUGCUACACGCCCAGAUUCUGUCACUUCCUUGCUGUGUGAACUUCGGCUGGUUACUUAGCGUCUCUGAACCUCACUUUCCUUCUCUGUAUAAUGGAGGAUAAAGUACCAAUCUUACAGUGUUGUUUGUGAUAAUAAAGUGAAAUAAAGCCGCUUAGAGCAUUGUCUGGCAUGUAGUAAGCACUAAGAGGCAUCAUCUAAAAUAAUAUUAACAACAGCAGCAUCAGUAGCAUCAUCUUCAUCUUACACGAAGGAUGUAAUCGGCCAUUCACAGUUGCAAGGUCUGUUGCAGACGCAGGCCUGUGGCUCCAAGGUCUGUGCUUUCUUCAGGAGCGAGAAAGGGACCUGUGGGCUCCUCAGGGAAGAAUGAAGGCCGGGGGUGGACUCUCCAAGAAGCAGAUUUCAGCUCAAUGAAAGAACUUUCUAUUAGGCCAGUUGUCUGGCAAAGGUGAGCCUCCUUUCCUGGGGGCUGCACAGAGACCCCCCACGGUCCCUUCUUCCAACUCCAGAGUCUCUGAGUAGGGUCUUCAGGAUGCAUUUGGCUGGCUUCCCGACCUCCUGCAGGAACGGGGCUGACCAGGUGCCGGGAGCUCCCUGUGGAGCGGGGUGGCGAGGGCUUCUGUGAGAAAGGCGUAGCUUCUGGUCUCCCCUCUGCACUCAUCUUCCAUUUCUCAGGACACCCUGUGGCUGGGCUGUUGGCAGAGGCCAUGGGAGUUCGCCAACAUACGAGCGGAAGGACAGACAUGGCAGCCCCUGCUAGAUCUUUGGUUUCUCACCCUUCAUUCUACAGAUGAGGAAACUGAGGCCCAGAGAGGUGCUGGGGUUUGCCUGAGGUCGGUCGUAAUGCAAGUGGGAAGAGACCUGGGACUGGAAUCCAGAUCUUGCAGCUCGCAGGAACAGCUUCUCUGUCCUCCAUCCCUCCCAGUACAGACGUACUGCAUGAGAGACACUGUGCCAGAUGCUCCCUUUUCAGCAGAGAAAAGAUACACACCCUCCCCUGCAUCCAAGCUCUGUGGAUUUCCUCCCCUGACAGUCCAUCCUUGGGGGCCUCCUGUCGAUCACCCCAGUGUGCCGAACGCUUUUCAGCCUCCAGGCCUUUGUCCCUGCUGUUCCUGCUGCUGGAGCCCCUUCUCCCUGCUCCGUGCAUGGCUCACUCCUUUCCUUCCCAGCACCUGGCCGGAUCCAUGGUGCCUGCCUCUUCUCUCUCUCUGGGGCUCGUUUUGCUUCCUUCGCUGGCUCCCACACAGCAGUCUGCUUGAGCUGAUUUCUUGCUCAUCAUCCGUGCCUCCUCUAGGCUCGGAGCCCCCUUAGGGCAGGGACUCUGUCACUGUUCCCACCACCAUGUCUCCACGGGCUCUGUGCUUGAAAUGUACCUGGUGACUGACUAAAUCAAUGUCUGCUUUCCAGUGGGCAAAAGAGUUAUUAACAAGGCGUCCUGCACAUGAGUAAGUAAUUAUGAAUUGUGGGAACUGCUGGGAGCGGGGUCUGCAGUGCUCCCGGGGGCCCGAUAUGUGGGGACCUGCCCCUGCUGGGUCUCCGCCAGGGCACUGAGACCUUGGGGCAGCAGUGGGUUCCUCUGAGGAGGAGCCCUGAUCCCCCAGACCAGGGCAGGCCUCCCGUCCUGUGGCUUGAUAGCUCCCUAGAGGCUUUCUUUACAGCACUCAUUGCAAUGAUACCCAUGUACACAGUUAGUUCUAUUUUUAUUGUGGUUAAAACCCCAUAGCAUACAUUUUACCAUUAGUGACAUUUAGCGCAUUCACAAUACUGCUCAAACAUCACUGCUGUCUGGUUCCAGACAUUUUUCAUCAUCUCCAAAGGAAGCCUCACACACUUUAAGCGGUCCCUUCCCGUGCUCCCACCCCGCGCCCCUGGCAACUGCUAAUCUACUUUCUGUCUCUAUGAAUUUGCCUAAUCUGGAUGUUUUAUAUUCAUCGAAUGAAAUUAGUAUUUAAAAAAAAUUUUUUUCUGUGUCAUCAUCUCCCCCAGGGUAGGAAUUGUGUCUGUCUGCCUGGCUUGCCUUUGCCGAGUUCUGGGCACAGACAAACAGCCGUGGCGGCACAGGAGGACGUUUUCUCCACCGCGCGUCUGUGAGCUCAUAGGAGGUGGGCUGUGCGUCUUAUAGGACCAGCGGCGUGCGCGUGCUCAGGUUCAGUUCCUCCAGCUGCCUCUUGCUGGAUCAAGUGUUACCUGAGGACAGUUGCUUAAUACCUCGAAGCAUCCAUUUCUUCAUCAAUAAAAAGUAGAUAGUGGUGAUGUUCGCCGCCUUGGGGUGACAUGAGGACAGAUGACCUGCCGCUGGCGCCAGGGCCUGGCCAGGAGCAGAAACUCAUGAACGUGAGCUAUUGUUAUUAUUUUCCAAGUUUUCAAUCCCAUGCUUUAGGAUAGAUAAUGAGCAGAGUCCGAACUCAGCAAAUGCAUUUUAGUUGGAAUGAUGCGUAAGAGGGUUUAAAAAUUAGGCCAGUGGACGUUCAGGUCAAAACUGCAGAUAGCUCAUUUGGGGUAAAGACAAGAAAGAGACCCCUUGCAUUAGCUUUUGCUAAGUUAUUCUACGAUGAUGAACAUCAACAACCUGGCAGAGGCUUACAGCCAUAGGGGUUGGCUUUGCUUUCUUUGUGGGUCCCUGUGGACCAGUUGUGGCUCUGCUCCUGUGUCUUUUCAUUCCAGGGUCCAGGCUGAGGAAGCUGACCUCACAUCUGGGAUGUGCCACUCCUGUGCCAGAGGGAAGAGGCAGGGAUGGCUGACAUCGUUACCACUCACAUCCGGAGGCUACGCCCAUCACAUUGCCAAGCUUGGUGUCUGGGGUGGGGGCAGGGCAGGGACUGUACUGCCCUCCUCCAAGCGGGCACCGCAGGUAGCCGAGCAGGGAGUAGGGAUGGAUAAUCCUCUCCCAGGGAGGGCAGCCAAUAACUGGGAAUAAUCAUAGGCGGGCCACCCUCUGCCCUGAGAGCUUUAGUUAUUUUGGGGGCGUGGUCUGACGCAUCUCUUCAGCUCGCUCACUUCAGUGCUCCACCUACAACCCAGCACCAUCACCCUAGGAGAUUUGGGGGGCUGUCAACUAAGAAUGGGUACAGUGAGUGGUCUGUGAGGGUCUCUUGCUCUGCAGAUUUGGUCCAUACACUGAAACCUAUGAAACCCCCUUCUUGGCAGUGUUAUCUAUGGUAGUAGAAAACGAGGAAUAGCCUAAAUAUCCCUCAAUAGGGGAAUGACAAGUGAACAGUGUUUUGUUCAUGCAAGGGCAUCUCUACUACCAUUGAAAUAGAUGAACCACAGCUAAAUAUUAAAUUGGAAGACUCUCCAAAAUGUAAUGGUGAGUGGAAAAAGCAGAUGUAGGAUGAUAUCAAUAGAAAAACAUGCAGUCUUUGAAACAGGGAAUUCCUCAAAAUGUUAAACACUGAGUUACCAUAUGACCCGGUAAUUCUGCUCCUAGGCAUACACCCAAGAGAAUUGAAAACACUUGUCCACACCAAAACUUGCAUAUGAAUGUUCAUGGCAGCAUUAUUCAUAACAGCCAAAAAGUGGAAACAAUUGAAAUGCCUACCAAUAGACGAAUGGAUAAAAAAAUGUGGUAUAUCCACGAAAUGGAAUACAAUUCAGCCAUAGAAAAGAGUAAAGUAUUGAUACAUGUUGAGAGCUUUCGCCUUUUCGCUUAAAGGAAGCACUGUUUGGCUUCUCUUUGGCAACUCCGAACUACCAGCAUCCCUGCUCUUGCACUUGGAGGAGGUAAAAUAAGGGUGACUUGAACGUGAGCACUGUGACACAGUGACAGUCAAUCUGAUACCGAGCUGGCUACUAAGUGACUGACGGGCGGUAGCGUAUAGAGCGUGGAUACGCUGGACACAGGGAUGGUUCACAAUCCGGGCGGGAUGGAGCAGAAUGGCGCGAGAUGUCGUCACAUUACCCAGAACGACAUGCAAUUUAAAACUUAGGAAUUGUUUACUUCUGGAAUUUUCCAUUUAAUAUUUUCAGACCGUGGUUGACCGCAGGUACCUGAAACCUCAGAUGAGGGGACUACUGUACUUGAAAAUGAUUAAAAUGGUCAGUUUUAUUAUGAGUAUUUUACCAAAACAAGAAAAACACAUACAGAACAACGCAUAUGUAGUGUGUAUGGAACUGCGUAUACCCAUAUCAGAAGAGUGGUUAUCUCUGGGGAGCGAGGAAGAGGAGCAGGAGGGUGGGCGGAUGGUGAAGUGACUGUGACAUUUUAUUGCCUUAAAAUGCCCUGAAGCGUAAAAUAUCAACAUUUAUUGACCUGGGUUAGAGUGUGAGUAUUUAUUGUAUGAUUCUCCGCAAUUUACUCAAUAUUUGAAAUAGAUCAUAAUUAAAAGAGAAAAAAGCCCAGAGGCUUUG
RNAcentral lists this long non-coding RNA (7049 nucleotides) under Equus caballus (horse). RNAcentral's name for it is "lncRNA (ENSECAG00000044180.1)". The record is from RNAcentral. Lineage: Eukaryota; Metazoa; Chordata; Mammalia; Perissodactyla; Equidae.